Chrysemys picta bellii (western painted turtle) is the source of this 868-nucleotide non-coding RNA. The record is from RefSeq and is a predicted model, not a curated record. Lineage: Eukaryota; Metazoa; Chordata; Testudines; Emydidae.
AGAGAUGCUGCAGUUCGAUGAGUUGAUCCCUAGGACCCAGGAGCAGCUGGGAGGCGGCUCUCGGGAGAGCGAUCGCUGGGCUCAGGCCCGACAGCAGGAAGUGACUCGCAGCCGCUGCGGUGACUCUGGCUCCAGGCUCCUGGCGAGAUCCCCGAGCCCCGGCGGCUGGUGCUGGGAGCCCGGAGCCCUGGCUGCAGCCGGGAGAGGGGAAUCUCCAGCAGGGCCCUUCCCGCUGCUCCAGGAGCCUCUCCCAGGGCAGAACCCCCAGCCCGGCCAGGCCCUGCCCCAGGGGGGCCCCGCUCGGAGGGAAGGAAAACAGGUCACCUGGUCUCCCCCUCUCUCUUUGUUCUCCAACACCUUCGGCUGGCUGCCUCCUUGCAGAGGACCGUUUUCGGCCACUGCUUGCCAGGAUACAGAGUUUUGGCCAUUCUCUAUGCCCACGCAGCCACUCUGCAGUCAUACCCGCCCUCCAGAAGUCUCUGCAAUGAUCACACACCUGUAUCCCACCAGCUUGAUAUUUGAGUAACACAUGGGGAAACUGAGGCACACACGUGGUAUUAAAAAAAAACAUUCAGAACAUUUCCGCUUCAUCACACCCCUCUGAGACCAGCCCAGGGGCACUUUCUCCAGUGGCUGGAACCAGUCUAACCAUACCCGCCCCUGAGCCUGAGCCUCCAGGUGAUGGAGAGACCUGGGGAAAGGGCUGGAGCCGGGCAGCGAAAUGACUCUGCACAAAGAGCCCCUUUCAGGGACCAGCUGGCCGAGGAAUCACAUCCACGUUUGUUCCAGAUGGGCCCAUCUUCCAGGAGACAGGGCAGGGAAACGGCUGUGAUGGAGCCGGCUCAGGUAGGGGAGUUUUAGGGAGCUU